AUAGAGAGCUUAAAAGUGGGAAAACACCAUUGCAAUCACUUGAGAGAUCCCCUCCUGUAGUCCAAAUUUAGAAUUCUGUUUAGGGAGGAGUGUGUAUUUGUAAAGGUUAUCUCCUAAACCUGUGAAAAGGAGAAGAGGGAUAUAAAAGGGUAGUUGGUCUUUGCCCAUUAAAAGAAAACCGAUAGUGGAUACCGGUGGCCUCAACGGAGGAGGAAUCGGGAGUGGAUGUAGGUCACGACGACCAAACCAUUAUAAACUCGGUUUAUAUUUCUGUUUUGCUCUUUACUUUAACUGCAAACUGUUAUACUUCCUCAUUACUUUAGUUGUACACUUUUAUGAACAUGUUUCAAGUUAAUAUCUUUCCGAGAUCGGUUUUAAUUGAACGAAAGUUUUACCACUGUACUAAUUCACCCCCCUCCCCCUCUU
This 426-nucleotide long non-coding RNA is filed under the name Musa acuminata (dwarf banana). RNAcentral's name for it is "long non-coding RNA (MACU_LNC004013)". Lineage: Eukaryota; Viridiplantae; Streptophyta; Magnoliopsida; Zingiberales; Musaceae. The record is from RNAcentral.